RNAcentral lists this transfer RNA (76 nucleotides) under Clostridia bacterium. Its description in RNAcentral is "tRNA-Pro". It matches the Rfam family "tRNA". From Rfam's summary of the family: Transfer RNA (tRNA) molecules are approximately 80 nucleotides in length. Their secondary structure includes four short double-helical elements and three loops (D, anti-codon, and T loops). The record is from RNAcentral. Lineage: Bacteria; Bacillati; Bacillota; Clostridia.
CGGGUGUGGCGAAGUUUGGUAUCGCACUUGACUGGGGGUCAAGGGGCCGCAGGUUCAAGUCCUGUCACUCCGACCA